RNAcentral lists this transfer-messenger RNA (404 nucleotides) under Bacteroides sp. It matches the Rfam family "transfer-messenger RNA". Rfam says of the family: Bacterial tmRNA, also known as 10Sa RNA or SsrA, is named for its dual tRNA and mRNA-like properties. Its role is to liberate the mRNA from a stalled ribosome. Lineage: Bacteria; Pseudomonadati; Bacteroidota; Bacteroidia; Bacteroidales; Bacteroidaceae. The record is from RNAcentral. RNAcentral also lists the same sequence under 1 other name.
GGGGGUGACUGGUAUUGACAUCACGUAGAAACGGUAUGUAAGCAUGCAGUGCUUUGAUGUGCAAGCACUAUAAUCACAACGCAUCGACCUAUAAUUGGCGAAAAUAACAAUUACGCUCUCGCUGCUUGAUCCGAAGUAAAGUAAGAUCGCUUUAUUUUCCUCAAAGUGAGGAAAACGAGACAUCGUCCCAUUGCCCUGUUCCGAGACGUUUGGACAAGACGGUGCUAAGAAAAUCGGAAAUUGGGUUCUGCCAGCCUUGAGCAGAACCUGAAAUCAAAAAGGCUAAGGCACAGGUUGGUAGUCGUGAGCCUGCCUGUACUCGAAAACCAAGUCAAUGACUAAGCAUGUAGAAAGCCUACUGCUUCCGUGGCUGGACGAGGGUUCAAGCCCCUCCACCUCCACAA